GAUUAACGCUAGCGGCAGGCAUAAUACAUGCAAGUUGAACGGGAUUAGUUGUAGCAAUACGACUAUGAGAGUAGCGCACGGGUGCGUAACGCGUAUGCAACCUGCCUUCAUCUGGGGAAUAGCCCCUCGAAAGAGGGAUUAAUACCGCAUAACAUAGUGAGUAGGCAUCUACUUACUAUUAAAACUACGGUGGAUGAAGAUGGGCAUGCGUGACAUUAGCUAGUUGGUAGGGUAAUGGCCUACCAAGGCUACGAUGUCUAGGGGGUCUGAGAGGAUGUCCCCCCACACUGGUACUGAGAUACGGACCAGACUCCUACGGGAGGCAGCAGUAGGGAAUAUUGGUCAAUGGGCGAAAGCCUGAACCAGCCAUGCCGCGUGCAGGAUGACGGCCCUAUGGGUUGUAAACUGCUUUUGUACGGGAAGAAACCUCAUUACGUGUAAUGAGUUGACGGUACCGUGAGAAUAAGGAUCGGCUAACUUCGUGC
This 485-nucleotide ribosomal RNA is filed under the name uncultured bacterium. RNAcentral describes it as "bacterial SSU rRNA". It matches the Rfam family "Bacterial small subunit ribosomal RNA", at positions 28 to 508 of the family's 1533-position model. The record is from RNAcentral.